RNAcentral lists this ribosomal RNA (253 nucleotides) under uncultured bacterium. RNAcentral describes it as "partial 16S ribosomal RNA". It matches the Rfam family "Bacterial small subunit ribosomal RNA", at positions 524 to 776 of the family's 1533-position model. The record is from RNAcentral.
GACAGAGGUGCCAAGCGUUAUUCGGAAUUAUUGGGCGUAAAGGGCGCGUAGGCGGCCUGGCAAGUGGAAGGUGAAAUCCCCAGGCUCAACUUGGGAACUGCGUCCGAUACUGGAUGGCUUGAGUGCGGGAGAGGGAUGUGGAAUUCCAGGUGUAGCGGUGAAAUGCGUAGAUAUCUGGAGGAACACCGGUGGCGAAGGCGGCAUCCUGGACCGACACUGACGCUGAGGCGCGAAAGCUAGGGGAGCAAACGGG